RNAcentral lists this ribosomal RNA (465 nucleotides) under Vreelandella stevensii. RNAcentral's name for it is "partial 16S ribosomal RNA". It matches the Rfam family "Bacterial small subunit ribosomal RNA", at positions 338 to 795 of the family's 1533-position model. Lineage: Bacteria; Pseudomonadati; Pseudomonadota; Gammaproteobacteria; Oceanospirillales; Halomonadaceae. The record is from RNAcentral.
CCUACGGGUGGCAGCAGUGGGGAAUAUUGGACAAUGGGCGAAAGCCUGAUCCAGCCAUGCCGCGUGUGUGAAGAAGGCCUUCGGGUUGUAAAGCACUUUCAGUGGGGAAGAAAGCCUUGGGGCUAAUACCCUCGAGGAAGGACAUCACCCACAGAAGAAGCACCGGCUAACUCCGUGCCAGCAGCCGCGGUAAUACGGAGGGUGCGAGCGUUAAUCGGAAUUACUGGGCGUAAAGCGCGCGUAGGCGGUCUGAUAAGCCGGUUGUGAAAGCCCCGGGCUCAACCUGGGAACGACAUCCGGAACUGUCAGGCUAGAGUGCAGGAGAGGAAGGUAGAAUUCCCGGUGUAGCGGUGAAAUGCGUAGAGAUCGGGAGGAAUACCAGUGGCGAAGGCGGUCUUCUGGACUGACACUGACGCUGAGGUGCGAAAGCGUGGGUAGCAAACAGGAUUAGAUACCCGGGUAGUC